AUUUCUGGUCUGUUUUCUUUAAUCAUUCCCAUGAGUGACCACUGUCAAAGACAUUUGCUUUCUGGCCUCUGUGCUCACUUCAUCUCCUUGGGUCUUAAAUGAAUGGUACCUACUUGAGACCCUUUCAAACUGUAGGCUCGGAUGGGAUGGCAACAAUCUUAAUCUAGUCUUUUCUCCUGGAAUGGCUCAUAUUAGUUGACAGAAAAGAAUUUAGGAAAGGUUCUUGAAGAAGGUUGAAGAAGCUUUAGCAGCUUCCUCAGAGCCUUUGCUUAUAACUGUUUGGAGUACAAUAGUGGUUGACUUUUUCAGUUCUUCAGUGUUCCAGAUUUGGGGCUUUAUCAAUUUAUGUUAUAGAUAGAGAACAAUUUCAUCAGCAGAGCUAUUUCCCUUGCAUCUCUGCAGACUUGUUAACCAUAGCCUGAGUCACAUUUUUCUUGUAGGUCUUUGCUGAAAGAGGCAAGAAGCAGCCAACACAUGCUAGCAUUCUGGAGUUCUACCACCACUUUCUCUGAUAACUUAAUUGUAGUUGGUGGGAGGUCUCACUGCCCAAAGCCCUACCUCUUCUACUAAGCCAAACCCGUAUUUAGUUUUACUUGCUGCACCUUACUUCUAGCUACCAAAUUUUGUAUAGGUCAAGAUUCUUGAUUGUAGGUAACAGAAUCUUUAGCUAUUGAACAGAAAGGAAUUGAUUAAGGAGUAUAUAUAGCUUACAGAAUCUUUGGGAGGGCUGAAGAAACAGACCCAGGCUGAGCUUCAAAGAACUACAUCACAAGAGUGGGCUGCCAAAGGAGCUGCUACUUUUGGAACAAUCAGGAAGCUGCCUCCUGCAUUAGGAAGCCGUGAACAGUUGCCAGCUCUAGAGCCACAGCACCUCUGCCAUACUUUGUGCUGGCGAAAAUGGAUACCUCAUGUCCUGCCUCUCUUUCCAUAUAACUGAGUAAAUGUCUCAACUGUGCAGUACACUUAACAAGAAAUUGAAUGAGAGCCAGAAUUGAAUGAUGAGCUUCAUCGUUUUCAUGCAAGAUUUUUAUCCUCUGAAGAAACUGCUAGAGAAGUCCACCUUCACCCUUAACCACUUGGUGCCUCAACUUAAUGCUUUUUAAAUUCAUUUGUUUUUGUUGGAAUUGGGAGAGUAAGGUGUAUUAAGUAAAAUACAAAGUUUA
This is a long non-coding RNA of Galeopterus variegatus (Sunda flying lemur), 1163 nucleotides long. RefSeq lists it as uncharacterized. Lineage: Eukaryota; Metazoa; Chordata; Mammalia; Dermoptera; Cynocephalidae. The record is from RefSeq and is a predicted model, not a curated record. The transcript is spliced from 2 exons.